Molecule: long non-coding RNA, 320 nt
Filed under: Mus musculus (house mouse)
Lineage: Eukaryota; Metazoa; Chordata; Mammalia; Rodentia; Muridae
Description: long non-coding RNA chr4:149096382-149096702
Source: RNAcentral
AUGGCGGCAUGGGGCCCGGCAGCCACUGCGCCUCUGCUACUUGGGAGCCGCGGACUCCCUCUGUGGUACUGUGUACAGCAAAUGUUUGCCUCCCAGAUGGAGAGGGAGCUCAAAGUGACCCAGGUUCUCAAAGAAGUUUCCUCGAGCCACAGCUAUUCAAGUCACAGACAUCUCAGGAGGCUGCGGGGCAAUGUAUGAAGUUAAAAUCGAAUCAGAAAAAUUUAAAGAGGACUGUCCAGCAGCACCAGAUGGUCAAUCAGGCACUAAAAGAAGAGAUCAAGGGCACGCGCGGCCUUCGGACAGUCACCUCUGUCCCCAAG